CUUCCUGUUCCUAUGCCAGACAGUCCAGUUUCACCCUGUAUGUGUCCGGGUCCCCCAGAGUCUUGCCCGGAACUGGAGUUCAGAGCAAGAGGGAGCUUGUAUCUUCCUCCUGAUUAAAAAAGCAGUGCACCUGGGUGCCAGCCCAUUCCUCGUCUCCACCUCAGUGCCUCCUACUAGUCUUAAUGCGCUUUCUUCACCUGUCUGGUUGUAGUACUUCCACUCAACCAGAUUUCCUGUGGUUCUGGACGAUAGUUGUUCUGUCUUUUAGUUGUAAUUUUGAUGUUGUUGUGAGAGGCAGCAAGUACAGUUGUUUACUGAUGCUGCCUUCUUGGUUCUCCAAUCUAGGCAGCACUUUUUGCACUUUGCUUAGCUUUGUAGAUUGCCCUUUCAUCAUGCAGAAAUAGGAACUCCUUUCUUUUCGGUAACAAGUUGUAGCUGUAUUAUUUAGGUCAGUGGAUGAACACCAUCAUUUACUGUCAUAUCUGUUACUUUCAUUUUCCUGUGAUUGGGUGAGUAUAAAUCUGUCUUUACAAAGACUAAUAUUUAACUUCACAUGAUCAUUUAGCUGAAGAGUCGCUAUUUUUUUUUUAAUAAGGCAAUGAGUGAAAUCUAUUUUUAAAAAGUAUUUAAAAACAUCAGCAAGUAAUAUAAAGAACAGGGCCUUUCAAAUCUCAAACCAGAUAUAAAAACUAACAUUUUAAGUGUUUUUGUCUCCCUAAAAAUUGCUGAGUUGGAAGUCCUCAGUAUAAAAGUAAUCCUUUUCAGAAGAAUGAGUAAAGUGAUGAAAUGGAAGUUGAUGAAACAGAUGAAUUUUAAAAAGACCCUUUGCAAGCCUCCCUGCUGGUUCCAUUUUAUAAUAUCCAAGAUGCCGUGACUGAGAAUGGGCUACCCUUGCUUUCGGAGUUUAUUUGUGGCCUGUGAGAAGCCAAUGGUGACUUCAGGGUGGAAAUAAUAUCUGAUACUAAAGUUGCUGUUGUCACUUUUCUCAAAAAUACUGAUGGCUGGACAUUUGUUAAUGUUUGUGACAGACACCAUAGAGCUCAGCAACUUCAGAUUUUCCCAAGACUUAUGGAAUGUGCAAGACCCAUUAAGGGUUGAAAAUCUGCCACCUUGUGUUGAUAAUAAUUACAUAACAACUUUCUUUGAUAACCAAUCCUCCAAAUGGAGAAAGAGCGACCAAUGUUCAAUAUUUACCAGAGGAGAGUUCAGCCUUGGUUGAGUUUUCUGACUACAAAGUGGUCGACCCCUACUUGAUCAAAAAGCUUUUCUUCAAAGAGAGGCCCAUUGUCUGUGUUUCUCUGUUAUGAGUCUUGGGACACAAUCUUACUUGGAAGGAAAGAACCAUUCAGAAAGCUGCCAGCACCAUUCCUGGUGGCUCUGGAUCCUUUCAUAAGGAUGAAGCUUGCAGAGAAAGUGUCACCUGAUUGGAAUGAAAAUUAUAAAAGGGGAAGGGGCCGCUGUGAGGUAACAUGGCCCCAAGUCAGCUGAAUAAGACUGGAGGUAGCACAC
Molecule: long non-coding RNA, 1509 nt
Organism: Pipistrellus kuhlii (Kuhl's pipistrelle)
Lineage: Eukaryota; Metazoa; Chordata; Mammalia; Chiroptera; Vespertilionidae
Exons: 3
Source: RefSeq, a predicted model, not a curated record